RNAcentral lists this ribosomal RNA (584 nucleotides) under uncultured bacterium. Its description in RNAcentral is "partial 16S ribosomal RNA". It matches the Rfam family "Bacterial small subunit ribosomal RNA", at positions 355 to 932 of the family's 1533-position model. The record is from RNAcentral.
UGGGGAAUUUUGGACAAUGGGCGAAAGCCUGAUCCAGCAAUGCCGCGUGUGUGAAGAAGGCCUUCGGGUUGUAAAGCACUUUUGUCCGGAAAGAAAUCCUUGGCUCUAAUACAGUCGGGGGAUGACGGUACCGGAAGAAUAAGCACCGGCUAACUACGUGCCAGCAGCCGCGGUAAUACGUAGGGUGCAAGCGUUAAUCGGAAUUACUGGGCGUAAAGCGUGCGCAGGCGGUUUGCUAAGACCGAUGUGAAAUCCCCGGGCUCAACCUGGGAACUGCAUUGGUGACUGGCAGGCUAGAGUAUGGCAGAGGGGGGUAGAAUUCCACGUGUAGCAGUGAAAUGCGUAGAGAUGUGGAGGAAUACCGAUGGCGAAGGCAGCCCCCUGGGCCAAAUACUGACGCUCAUGCACGAAAGCGUGGGGAGCAAAACAGGAUUAGAUACCCUGGUAGUCCACGCCCUAAAACGAUGUCAACUAGUUGUUGGGGAUUCAUUUCCUUAGUAACGUAGCUAACGCGUGAAGUUGACCGCCUGGGGGAGUACGGUCGCAAGAUUAAAAACUCAAAUGAAUUGACGGGGUCAUAGCUG